UGUUUGCCGUUGGCACGCGUUAAGGAUGGAAGCGGCAUCCUUUUUUGAGGCACGAAAAAAAGAUACAGCGAACAGCCUGGCCCGCA
RNAcentral lists this small RNA (86 nucleotides) under Flavobacterium noncentrifugens. Its description in RNAcentral is "Flavo-1 RNA". It matches the Rfam family "Flavo-1 RNA". The record is from Rfam by way of RNAcentral. Lineage: Bacteria; Pseudomonadati; Bacteroidota; Flavobacteriia; Flavobacteriales; Flavobacteriaceae.